CUCUGUCACUGCUUUCGAUCCCUUUUUACUCCCUCUCGGGUUGCUAUGGUACCUAAUGUGUUUGGGAGUGGUCGGAAAUUGAGAACAGGCAGGUUUAUAGGCACCUGGGGUCCUCAUGCCGGGAGCGAUACACUGUAGUUAGCUGCUAACGUGUCAGAGUGCAGCAGUGUUUCGGGGUGCUGUUUGUAGCGCAAGGGGCUGCAGAGUGUUUGCCAACGGCGUUAUUGUUUGUUUGUGUGCAUGCUUCCGAAACAACACGUUUGGAAUGCCUAGACUGACGAGCACAGAGGAGUGCUCUGUGACCCUGGGGAGAUUGUGAAGUGCCGGAACACGGUCUGCUCACCCAAUCGCUAGAUUGUAGGCAGAGGCUGCCAAAAUACGAUUGUCGGCUGCUGUUCUCUUGAAUGUGUGUAGAGGUGUAAAUGUGUAUGAAUGUACAGGUGCUGUGUUUUUUUGGUUAGACACGUUUCCAAUUUGUUUUUUUUCUUUAUAUUUUUUUUUCCCCUUUUCCCGCUACCCGGUGGGUUGUGAAAGAUUGGUGUUCGUGAACUGAUUGUGACCACCGGCUAGCGGUUUCUUUUCUUUUUUUUGUUGUUGUUUGUUCCUUCCCCCUCCCUAGUCAUAGUCUUGGGGUGGAUUGGGCCAUAGGAUAGACAAGCUUAUCAGGUUCUAGUCUGGUUUCCUUAGUGUUUCACCCGUUUUGAACUGAUGUGUGCAGUGUAGUGCUGUGAUGUGUGCAUCAAGGGGUAGUCUGGUUUCCUUAGUGUUUCACCCGUUUUGAACUGAUGUGUGCAGUGUAGUGCUGUGAUGUGUGCAUCAAGGGGUAGGCUGAGUUUGUAGUGUUUGUUCUACCAUAAAAGUGGUGUGCUUUAGUUCACUUGUGGUAUUGAAACCUAGGCUUGGUCCAGCUUGUAACCCGGGGCCCGCCCUCCUAUGACUUAUCCCUAUGUCAAAUUAUGUAUUUGUUAUUUAUUGACAACCAAAAGCGACUGAAUUUUAAUUAAAGAUAAAAUAAAGAUUGUAUCUUUCUACUUUGCUAAACAAAGCCUGUGCGUGUGCUCUUUUUGUAACAGAGUCCCCUUGCCAUUACGGGUUGUGUCCAAGGGGUGGCGUAGUUAGCAUUGCCAUAGCCCUUUAUGGGGGGCUACAU
This is a long non-coding RNA of Cyprinus carpio carpio, 1150 nucleotides long. The record is from Ensembl. NCBI's taxonomy places the organism in Eukaryota, Metazoa, Chordata, Actinopteri, Cypriniformes, Cyprinidae.